GAUGAACGCUGGCGGCGUGCCUAAUACAUGCAAGUCGAGCGAACAGAUGAGGAGCUUGCUCCUCUGACGUUAGCGGCGGACGGGUGAGUAAAACGUGGAUAACCUACCUAUAAGACUGGGAUAACUUCGGGAAACCGGAGCUAAUACCGGAUAAUAUAUUGAACCGCAUGGUUCAAUAGUGAAAGACGGUUUUGCUGUCACUUAUAGAUGGAUCCGCGCCGCAUUAGCUAGUUGGUACGGUAACGGCUUACCAAGGCAACGAUGCGUAGCCGACCUGAGAGGGUGAUCGGCCACACUGGGACUGAGACACGGUACAGACUCCUACGGGAGGCAGCAGUAGGGAAUCGUCCGCAAUGGGCGAAAGCCUGACGGAGCAACGCCGCGUGAGUGAUGAAGGUCUUCGGAUCGUAAAACUCUGUUAGUAGGGAAGAACAAAUGUGUAAGUAACUAUGCACGUCUUGACGGUACCUAAUCAGAAAGCCACGGCUAACUACGUG
RNAcentral lists this ribosomal RNA (497 nucleotides) under uncultured bacterium. RNAcentral's name for it is "partial 16S ribosomal RNA". It matches the Rfam family "Bacterial small subunit ribosomal RNA", at positions 28 to 507 of the family's 1533-position model. The record is from RNAcentral.